AUGGAUCAGUCAGCCAACUCGGGCAAGGUGACUACACCUGUCUACACAGCCUGUCCUGGGCAAGUAAAACUCUUGGCUUUAAGAAGAUUUUUCACGGACCCUAGUGUAGAGAAGAGUGGCUGUGGCGUUAUACAAACUUUCCAUCUAUUGAGUCUUUUCUGCACACCUAGCAUUCAAUCCUCCCCUAAAGUUCUUCGAGGUAGUUAUCACUCUCCUCAUUUGCAAAUGAAGAAACUAAGAAUCACCUCAAGAUUAACUGCAAUUCCCGGGCUGCAUUUGGUGGGCAGUGGGGCUGGGAUUUGAAUUCAGAUUUCUCUGAUGACAAAUCACCACAUGCAGUAUCCAAAGGAGUAUUAUGAGAGUCCUGGUUGAAGACCAAGCAUUCACAUUUUCAUUGAAUCCAAAAUGUGCUGCCCGACACACUGUCUGGAGAGGAAGUAAGCCUCUGGAGGGAACAGUUGUGGAUGCCCUGCCAUGCCCAACAUGUUUGAUGCUCAAGUAAACAACACCUUUGUGGAGUCAUCAUAGAGUUAUAAGUCCUCUGAUAACAGAUUCAUUUCUUAGCAUAAGAAAGUAGCAUUUCCCCCAAUUAGUGGGGAAGUCCAAGUGCAGGCAUUACAAAUAUUCUCUCCAUGACCUUCUACAUACCCAAUUCUGCCUGCUACAAAUGCCUGCUGGUCCACUGAAAAGGACUUUCUCGUGAAGACGCCACAGUAUGAGUGACACCAUUCUCUGCUCCAUCCUCCAUGGAUUCUAUUCUACUGCAUCACUCAUUUGGUUGGGAAAGUGCUUUCAUGUGAAGGUCUUGAUUGAGACAAUAGACAGAUAGACACCCACAGAUACUAGCAAAGAGAGUGGACUCUCUGCCUCUAAAAGUACUAAUUUUACCACCUCCAUGGGUGAAACAAUUCACCUUGUCAGUCUUCUUGGGCAGUUCUGGAGGUUAGAGAGAAGCUAAAAGUUUAUAGCUUAAUAGAAGCAUUUGUAACCAUGGCAAGAUAAACAGACAUAACUUAAAAGCUAACUCCAAUAAAAUGCCGAGGGGCAAGACA
Molecule: long non-coding RNA, 1052 nt
Filed under: Felis catus (domestic cat)
Lineage: Eukaryota; Metazoa; Chordata; Mammalia; Carnivora; Felidae
Description: lncRNA (ENSFCAG00000052015.1)
Source: RNAcentral